Molecule: long non-coding RNA, 7253 nt
Filed under: Brassica napus (rape)
Lineage: Eukaryota; Viridiplantae; Streptophyta; Magnoliopsida; Brassicales; Brassicaceae
Description: long non-coding RNA (BNAP_LNC004250)
Source: RNAcentral
GGGAGAGACAGACGAGCCCGCUGCCAAAGCUCAGAAACUAUCCUAGGUAGACAGAACCGUCAAUGAGACGCGGAUGCAGUCUCACGGUUCACGACAUGCUGCCACAAGAACCUACCUCACUCGGUUGACAACUCUGAGAAAUAGAACUCCUUUCACGCCUCCACUGCUGAGAACCAGCCGCAGAAUCCACAAAGAACAUGAACAACUUGGCUACCAGAGCCACCACAACCACCAUAAUAACCAAGAAACGAGAUACUAAUCCCACGCCGGAGCGACAGACCACAGCAGGCUACACCAAAGCAACGCCACAACAGAUCCAAGGAGAACAUACCUUAUCUGAACUCUACGCACCGUCACGCGCUCAGGUCAGACCCUAGCUCGACCAAAAACUGAAACCCCGUUCCGGCGAAUGAAGCAAGCGAGAGAUUGGGUUGACGCCGAUCCAAUCCCACUCCUUUCCACCACUUUGGUACUGCCGACUCACCGGAGGAAGCUGCAGCGACGAACCAGACAGCACCGACCUCCCACAAAACCGCCCCCACGAUAAUACUGAAACUUUCAAAGCUGAUAUGCUAAAAACAAAUAUAAGCUAGCUCUAAAGUAAAUACCGGUCAGUCAACCGGGUUGCCGAUCAUGUCUACCAAAUAGUCCAAAUUACCACAGUUAAUCUUAAAACGAACCACGAGGAUCUGUAGCUCUCUUAGACAUGAUAACAGUCCAUCCAUUUCCGCAUGUAAAUCCAAGAGGAAACUUUUUUCAAUCUAUUGGACACUUUGUGUUAAUCUAGAAAUAAUGUAUAUAAACCAAGUGCAAAGACUUACUUCGAACAAGUAUACCUGAUUUGCGUGUUUAAACCAUACCCAUUUGUACCAUUUAGUUCUCAGCUUUUCAUCUCUCAGAAGUUCCCAAGUCCGUUUUGAAUCCAACUUCCUUGAAAAUUUGUUUGAUGCAUUGUUUCACAGGACCACAUCCUCGACUUGUUCCAUACAUUUCAACUUCUCAAUCUCUGUUUCAUUUAGGGUUGUUGACAUGUGUUUUGAUGAUAUAGGCGUCUCACACCAUGCCAACCGUUCUGUGAGCAGACAUACACAUAUCAAUAUAAUCCUCUAGGACUUGUUAGCUCAUGCAGUCUUCCCAUAUACGACUAGUGAUCAAAAUAUAAGAAAGAAUUCUCAACAUUGUGGAUAUGAAGUCGAUAGAAAUAUUAUGUAGUGUCUCUGAAUUACAUGAGUUUUGUCCACAUCCAUGAUCCUCUACUUGAAUUCUAUAAUCCAUUUAAUCCAUAAAACUGAUUGAGGGGAGAUGAGUCUCCAAAUAAGCUUCAAGAAAUAUACUUCGUUUGGUUUGUUUACCAAUUUUAUCUCAAGGCCUCCGCCAAAUUUUGGAACACAUAGAUCUAUACAUACUAUUUUGUCAUUCCUUGGGUUUAGCUCCAAAUCCAACCAUAAGAAAAUAGACCAGAGUUUGUUUAUCUCAUCCACACAACUAUUGAGAAGUCUAUAAGCUGAAAUUCAUUAAUCCAAUAUGCUGGUGAUUGAUGAGUUUAGAAGUUGAAGUCUCCUGCAUAUGAGAGGAAUUGAUUUGUCAAAAAACCCAUGUUAGAUCAAAUUAUUUAUGUCAAAGGAAUGUAGCUUGCUUUAGAUAUCUUCUUCCCAUCAGCAAAUAUUAUUAGAUUAUUGGCAAAUCACAAAUGGGUCAGUUGAAUUUGCUUACACUAAGGGUGGAAUCUUAUUCUUCUUUCUGCUGGCGCUGCUUAUUGAUCAGUCUAGAGAACAAAUUCAACAUAUUACAAAUAAAUAUGGUGAAAGCAAACAUCCCUCUCACUCUGAAGUUAAUUUACCCUUUACUAGUACCGAAAAUGAAGUCACUGAUAUGUAAAGAUUGAUCCAAUAUACAAACUCAACCUAAAAUUCAGAGUCAUAAUGUGUUUAACAUGAAAAUUAAUUGGACCGUCAGAUGCUAGUCCCAACCAUUGUGUCCCUUAGCCCAAAUGUUGCAACCAUUCAACCCAAGCAUCACGAACCUUCAACCAAGGCAUCACGACCCUUCAGCCAUACCCAUUCCCAUCUUUCCUCUACCCCACAACCACCUCGGCUAAGCCCAAUCCUAAUCCACCCCGAGUCAUCCUGGCCCAGAUCUCGCACCCCUCAGCGACCACCGACCAGACCACACCGGACCCAGCCUGGGCUGCACACUACUGACACUACUUAACCCAACCGCCUCAGCUUGUUGAGCUGGCAGAGCUGGUUAGCUAACUAUGACGAGCAGACUACAAUACAUUGACCUAACCUCAGCUUUCUACACUGCCAUAUACUAUCCUGAGCUAAACGGCAACUUGGUUUAGGUCGAGAAAAAUACCCAAGCUUCUUAUUUGACCUAGGGAUUACGCCUAUUCUUAUUUAACCUAAGGAUUACUCCUAUGAAGUAUUUGGGUCGAUGGUUCAAUCGAACCUUGACUAUGCUUGUCCAUAGGAUGUAUGCCUGACCGUGACCCUAGUCAGAAUCGAUUACAAGAGUCCUUCUCGUAUUUUUUUGUACGCGAACUAUGACUUCGAAUAUACAUAGUUUAAUUCUAGUAUAUACAGUCUAUGAGUUUAGUCUAUUUGGAGUCUCUUGUUUAAGAUAUUAGAUUAUUUUGCUUAAACUAGUAACAAAAAGUUAAUGGGUUCAACAAUGUUUUCAUUUAAUGUAAUAAAUAUAAUUGAAUAAUGAGACAAGUAUAGAUGUCAUCCGGAUACAGAAACGUGCUUUUAUACGCCAAAUUGAGAUUGUGUGGAUGUUGCAGCCAAUUUAGUCGAGAGAACCCUUCAUUGGGCUGUGCAAAAACUAAUCUCGUAAAUAAGACCAUUUUUGUUCAUUGGGUGUAUUAGUGUCGUAUUUGUUAUAUGUUAAGAUUAAAUUAUUUAUAUCCGGCCUGAUAUGUACAAAUCUAUAAACUUUGCGUUUAGUAUUUCAUAUCUUACUGAAUGUUCUAUAUUGCUCUCACCCCUUUUUGUUCUUCACUUCAAGUGAGACAAACAAAUAGAUGAUAUUUGGAUGAAUCGGUGUUAUUGAAUAGUUUUUCAUUUGGAUGUUAUUUAGAUUUGAAAGAUUUGGAAAUGAGUUAUAACUUAUUAUCGGUGGCACAGCUCUUACAGCUCUCGAGAGAAAAUGAGAAGGGUGUUAAAUGUUAAUUAAAUGUUUGAGAAAAUUAUUGUUCCUGUGGAACGGUCUUGGAAAAAUACAUGAGCCUGGCCAAAUAAUUGUGCCCGAGGAAGAAAACAAAGAAUAGUCUUGGACACUUUGGCCAUUAAAUGGAAGAAAACAAAGACAUGGUCUUGGACACUUUGGCCAUUAAAAAUGCAUUUAUGUUCUAAACAAAAUAUAAGAACAAGAUGGUCUAAUAAUGUGGCUAGUUAACAAGGAGCUUAAUAAAAGGUUAGUAGAAUAGAGGUAAGAAAGAAGCGUUGUUAUCAAUAUCUAAUUGGUGAUAAACUAACUAAACAGUAAUCUUUAACAAGCAAACAAAACGACUGAAUAGUAUAUAACUAGUUUAAGUGAAAGAAAUAUAACAUAUAAAAAAACAAAAUACAUACUUUUUAAUUAAACUAAGGGUUAAGUCAUUUCACUAUAAACAUACAUGAAUUCUUCAAAGAACACAAAGUCAACAUAACCCAUAUUGUAAGUUACAGUUGACCAACAAUAUAAGUUAAUCCAAGUCAAGCGUGUUGAGCACGAUUAAUCAUCUGUUUUGAUGAUAGCAACGGUCAACUAUUAAUCUUCUUGACUUGAAGAAACUUUGGAACCAUUGGAUCCAUUUGCAUCUUAUAUAAAUAACUCAUGUGAAGAGCUUAAUAUCACACUUCCUUCCACUUCAAAACAGAAAUCCAAAACAUCACAAAAGUAUUAAACAAACACUUAAAAACAGAAGAAAGAAAAAAAACAAAAGAAGAAGAAAUGGGUUUAAAAAUGAAAGAGAGAUCAACAAAAGGAGGUUUUGUUGUGAUAUUGGUUCUAGUCUUUUGUUGCUUCUUCGAGAAUAUGGGUAAGCCUAAAGUUUCCUCUCCUUCAAGAUAUAAAUAUAUAAUUAUGUUUAAUUAAAUUUAUCUUGUAUUUAAAAAGUUGUACUAUAUCUGAAAAAUUCAUAAAUUAAAUAUAUAGAAUCAGAAAAUACUAUUUACAAUUUAAUGAUCACAUCUGUUAUUUUAAUUGCUAAGGUGAUAUCACUUAUAGGGUGUUAUGUUAAAAAAAAAGAAAGAUAACCUAACGUUUUUUUUUUAUUUUCAGUUUUUAAGUUCAAAUCAUGUUUUAGACAUAGAGCCCAACAUAAUUUGAGCCCAAACAUUUUAAACCCACAAUUACUUUUUAAUAAUGUAAAAACGUCAACCUUCGUUUAUGUUUUGUUAAACUAUUUUAAUCUUUAUGUUUUGUUAAACUAUUUCACACAGGGGGCAGAUCUCCUUAGAAGGGGAGUCACUCGCCACGAUGCUUCCAGUUUCACCAUUCUUGAAACUCUUAUGAACCACAAAGCCAAUAUAAGAGCUCUGUUUAAAUCCAACGGCUGAAUUUUAUCACAGACCACCGCUAAGCUUGAAGAGGGAAGAGAAGUGGAGUGCUGCGUUUUGGAAGUUGGUUACUUGGAGUUUACAAGAUGAAGAUGGAACCCGUGACGAGGAAGACGAGGAGAAGUGUUACUUAGAAUAUCCUAACGUUGAGGAUGUAGACAAUGUGUGAUCUUAGCGAUGAAGAUUAGUGUAGCUUUAAUAUAUGCUACUACGGUCCUUGAGCUCCCUAACAAGUACUAGCAAAUAAUGUGUAUUUUGAAAAAAUAAAAUAAUUUUGUAAUGCAAGUAGUUUGAAACUUUGAGUAUUUAUUCAAACAACGGAUAUAUACAGAGUUGAUAACUUGAUAUGGACCCCCAAAUAAGUUGGUGUUGCGCUGUCACAAUAUCUAUCUUUUUAAUUUCAUAUACAUGACGUAAGCUUCUUCAUCUUCUUCUCUUUCUCUUUCCGUUGUUCCACGCUCUCUGUUUCAUGUUUAGGCCCUUUUUACAUUCUCUAUAUUUUACCUUAAUUAUACUUUUUGAAUUUUCCUUCUGUUUUGGGAGAUGUCUCUAACUUGAGUUAAUCGUCAAAAGCUAAGAUCAAUUUUGUUGUCUUACUUCCGAUAAAUUUUAUUCUUUAAUUUGCACAAAUCGUAAACAACACCAACAUCCCGUAAAUCAUACCACCCCACUGAUAACUAAAGUAACCAGCCCCGCGCUUGCGCGGGGUCUCAGCACCUAGUUUAUUUCAAUGGUUUACUGCUUUUGUGGACUGCUUGCCAUAUGCUCUGUAUCAACACUUCUUGUCACCUAUUAAACAAAAAGCUCAGAAAUUAGCUAUAUAAAUGUCUGCGAAUAUUUAUAACUGAACUCAAGUUCCAGUUCUAACACGUCUUUUGUUAUCUGUCCAUCAGCGAUUAUGAGAAGAACAUGGUACCGGCCUCCACUUUCUUCCACAAUCGUCAUGGCUCUUUCGAUGAUGCGUGCAAAAGAUGUCAGACCUGCUACAAAGCCAGGAAAAAAAAUCAAGAAAGAGUACUUCUCAUGUGUUAUCAUCAAACUCUCCAAUCAUAUAAGACCAAUGAGUAUCAUCAAAUGCUGAAGCAUAGCUGCAUAUAUAUAUAUAUAUAUAUAUAUAUAUAUAUGGAAAAAUACCAGAGAUAGGACUUCAAUUGGUUUCACAUGCUGCACAGUACCAUUGGAUCCAAGUCGAACUAUUGGAGAUCUACAACAUAAUUUGGAUAAUUUUUUGAGAAGACAAGUAUUCUUACGCAAGAGUCGCGACUUUCACAAAUGGUGGAAACAAUAUCAUUGAUUCAAUCUAAUGCAUCUUCGGUCAGAUUUUCAUGAACUCAGAAAUCUGAUUCCAUCCUCUUCUUCACAUGGCUUGUCCGGUAAACCUAAAAUCGCAUCAAUCUCAAGGAAAUCCAGGAGUAAGUUAUUUAUGUCUGAAAUCAAACAGAACCCAGAGAGAAAGAAAUAAGCAAUACCUGUAGAUCUUCCAACCAUGGCUUUAAAACAGAAAUCAUCAAAGGCAAGCCCUUCCAAUCAUGGAAGCUGAAGAUGUUUCCAAAGAGGAUUGUGGGAAAGGUAAGUUUUUAUGAGAUUCGCGAAGACUUAAGAGAAUCAUCAAUAGAUGGAAAGAUUAGUGGUAAAUCUGAAACCAAAAAAAAAUCUGAAACGUCGAAGAGGCGUCUUAAGAGACAAUGUGAUCAGGAAAGCCCAUGGACCUGUUUGUAAAACAGUAAAAACCCAGUAAAUUUUUGAGAAACAAAAUCUGGCCCAUUAAACAAAUUUACCGAGACAACAAUCAUAAAACACGUUAAACGAAUAAAAAAAAGUAUGCCACGUGUCCUCAUUUGCCCUUUAUUCCAUGCUCAUGUGGCAGCAGGAUGUGAGAGAAAACUCUCCUUUAUAUAUAUAUAUAUAUAAAGAGAAAAUCCUGUUUUAUUAUUAUAGAUAUAUAUAUAUAUAUAUAGAUAGAUAGACUUUAUAUAUAUAGAUAACUUUUUUUUUUUUGGUAAAAAUGUUAAGAUAUUAUUACCAACUUUUUGUUUUUGACAGAAGCACAAAAUUAACAAGAAACAAAAAAGAAAAGAAAAAUCUAAACAUAAAUUCGAUCUGGUUACAACAGGUAAGGCAAACACAACAACUACCACCGCAGUCCCAAGGCUCAACCAAGUUCGCACCAUCCACUUGCCGCAAAAAGAUAAACCAAGUUCAACUGAGAGUCGGAACCCGGUAAUUCUGGCCUCCCCGAUAAUCCGCUCUUAAAAAUAAUGGCCCACUUGCAAACAGCUCGCCGAGAGCUUCAAAGCACCUGCCCAUACGAACAAACAGCAACAGCAGCAGCCACACACACCCGUAUAACCAAACUAAGCAUUUAUUGGGGGGAGAGACAGACGAGCCCGCUGCCAAAGCUCAGAAACUAUCCUAGGUAGACAGAACCGUCAAUGAGACGCGGAUGCAGUCUCACGGUUCACGACAUGCUGCCACAAGAACCUACCUCACUCGGUUGACAACUCUGAGAAAUAGAACUCCUUUCACGCCUCCACUGCUGAGAACCAGCCGCAGAAUCCACAAAGAACAUGAACAACUUGGCUACCAGAGCCACCACAACCACCAUAAUAACCAAGAAACGAGAUACUAAUCCCACGCCGGAGCGACAGACCACAGCAGGCUACACCAAAGCAACGCCACAACAGAUCCAAGGAGAACAUACCUUAUCUG